This 267-nucleotide ribosomal RNA is filed under the name uncultured bacterium. Its description in RNAcentral is "partial 16S ribosomal RNA". It matches the Rfam family "Bacterial small subunit ribosomal RNA", at positions 793 to 1055 of the family's 1533-position model. The record is from RNAcentral.
GUCCACGCCGUAAACGAUGGAUGCUAGCCGUUGGUGGGUUUACCCUUCAGUGGCGCAGCUAACGCAUUAAGCAUCCCGCCUGGGGAGUACGGUCGCAAGAUUAAAACUCAAAGGAAUUGACGGGGGCCCCGCACAAGCGGUGGAGCAUGUGUUUCAAUUCGAAGCAACGCGCAGAACCUUACCAGCCUUUGACAUCCCGGUCGCGAGCACCAGAGAUGGAGCUCUUCAGUUCGGCUGGACCGGAGACAGGUGCUGCAUGGCUGUCGU